Molecule: ribosomal RNA, 398 nt
Filed under: uncultured bacterium
Lineage: Bacteria
Description: partial 16S ribosomal RNA
Rfam family: Bacterial small subunit ribosomal RNA
Source: RNAcentral
AAUAUUGGACAAUGGGCGCAAGCCUGAUCCAGCCAUGCCGCGUGAGUGAUGAAGGCCCUAGGGUUGUAAAGCUCUUUCUAUGGUGAAGAUAAUGACGGUAACCGCAGAAGAAUCCCCGGCUAACUUCGUCCCAGCACCCGCGGUAAUACGAAGGGGGCCAGCGUUGUUCGGAAUUACUGGGCGUAAAGCGCACGUAGGCGGAUUGGUCAGUUAGGGGUGAAAUCCCAGGGCUCAACCCUGGAACUGCCUUUAAUACUGCCGGUCUAGAGUUCGAGAGAGGUGAGUGGAAUUCCGAGUGUAGAGAUGAAAUUCGUAGAUAUUCGGAGGAACACCAGUGGCGAAGGCGGCUCACUGGCUAGAUACUGACGCUGAGGUGCGAAAGCGUGGGGAGCAAACAG